Molecule: ribosomal RNA, 774 nt
Filed under: uncultured bacterium
Lineage: Bacteria
Description: bacterial SSU rRNA
Rfam family: Bacterial small subunit ribosomal RNA
Source: RNAcentral
GAGUUUGAUCCUGGCUCAGAACGAACGCUGGCGGCAGGCUUAACACAUGCAAGUCGAGCGCCCCGCAGGGGGAGCGGCAGACGGGUGAGUAACGCGUGGGAACGUACCUUUUGCUACGGAAUAGCUCUGGGAAACUGGAAUUAAUACCGUAUGUGCCCUUCGGGGGAAAGAUUUAUCGGCAAAAGAUCGGCCCGCGUUGGAUUAGCUAGUUGGUGGGGUAAAGGCCUACCAAGGCGACGAUCCAUAGCUGGUCUGAGAGGAUGAUCAGCCACAUUGGGACUGAGACACGGCCCAAACUCCUACGGGAGGCAGCAGUGGGGAAUAUUGGACAAUGGGCGCAAGCCUGAUCCAGCCAUGCCGCGUGAGUGAUGAAGGUCUUAGGAUUGUAAAGCUCUUUCAACGGUGAAGAUAAUGACGGUAACCGUAGAAGAAGCCCCGGCUAACUUCGUGCCAGCAGCCGCGGUAAUACGAAGGGGGCUAGCGUUGUUCGGAAUUACUGGGCGUAAAGCGCGCGUAGGCGGGUAUUUAAGUCAGGGGUGAAAUCCCAGAGCUCAACUCUGGAACUGCCUUUGAUACUGGGUACCUAGAGUCCGGAAGAGGUGAGUGGAAUUGCGAGUGCUAAACAUUCCGCCUGGGGAGUACGGUCGCAAGAUUAAAACUCAAAUGAAUUUGACGGGGGCAAGGGCGAAUUUCCAGCACACUGGCGGCCCGUUACUAGUGGAUCCGAGCUCGGUACCAGGCUUGGCGUAAUCAUGGUCAUAGCUUGUUUUCCUG